GGCCCCGCCUGCUGCGGGAACGCGGGCGGCUGCUGUUGCCAGCCGGCCUGCGGCGGUACGGCCUGCUGCGGGGCCU
This 76-nucleotide transfer RNA is filed under the name Streptomyces filipinensis. Its description in RNAcentral is "tRNA-Asn". The record is from RNAcentral. Lineage: Bacteria; Bacillati; Actinomycetota; Actinomycetes; Kitasatosporales; Streptomycetaceae.